Molecule: ribosomal RNA, 760 nt
Filed under: unidentified archaeon
Lineage: Archaea
Description: partial 16S ribosomal RNA
Source: RNAcentral
UGGGUCUCGCUCGUUACCUGACUUAACAGGAUGCUUCACAGUACGAACUGACGACGGCCAUGCACCACCUCUCAGCUAAUCCGGCAAAGUCUUCAGCCUGACCUUCAUAUCGCUGUCGCCCCCGGUAAGAUUUCCGGCGUUGAAUCCAAUUAAACCGCAAGCUCCACCCGUUGUAGUGCUCCCCCGCCAAUUCCUUUAAGUUUCAGCCUUGCGGCCAUACUUCCCAGGUGGCUCGCUUCACGGCUUCCCUACGGCACCAAACACGGUCGCACCGUGACUGACACCUAGCGAGCAUAGUUUACAGCUAGGACUACCCGGGUAUCUAAUCCGGUUCGUGCCCCCAGCUUUCGUCCCUUACCGUCAGGACCCGUUCUGGUGAGACGCCUUCGCCACUGGUGGUCCCUCAAGGAUCACAAGAUUUCACCCCUACCCCCGAAGGUACCUCUCACCUCUCCCGGUCCUCAAGCCAAACAGUAUCCCCUAGAAAGCCUGACAGUUAAGCUGCCAGAUUUCCCAAGAGACUUAUCCUGGCCGGCUACAGACCCUUUAGACCCAAUAAUAACGGUUACCACUCGAGCCGCCGGUGUUACCGCGGCGGCUGGCACCGGUCUUGCCCGGCCCUUGCUAUGACAGAUGCUUUUUAGGCAUCACGACAGCCAACAUUAGUAACCUGGCACUCGAGAUCCCCUUAUCACGGUUGCCCAGCAUUGUAAAGUUUUCGCGCCUGCUGCACCCCGUAGGGCCUGGAUUCGUGUCUCAG